This 68-nucleotide transfer RNA is filed under the name Phytophthora infestans (potato late blight agent). Its description in RNAcentral is "tRNA-Pro". It matches the Rfam family "tRNA". From Rfam's summary of the family: Transfer RNA (tRNA) molecules are approximately 80 nucleotides in length. Lineage: Eukaryota; Oomycota; Peronosporomycetes; Peronosporales; Peronosporaceae. The record is from RNAcentral.
GGCCUCGUGGUCUAGUAGAUUCUCGCUUCGGGUGCGAGAGGUCCCGGGUUCGAUUCCCGGUGAGGCCC